GGUAGAAUUCCAGGUGUAGCGGUGAAAUGCGUAGAGAUCUGGAGGAAUACCGAUGGCGAAGGCAGCCAUCUGGCCUAAUACUGACACUGAGGUGCGAAAGCAUGGGGAGCAAACAGGAUUAGAUACCCUGGUAGUCCAUGCCGUAAACGAUGUCUACUAGCCGUUGGGGCCUUUGAGGCUUUAGUGGCGCAGCUAACGCGAUAAGUAGACCGCCUGGGGAGUACGGUCGCAAGACUAAAACUCAAAUGAAUUGACGGGGGCCCGCACAAGCGGUGGAGCAUGUGGUUUAAUUCGAUGCAACGCGAAGAACCUUACCUGGCCUUGACAUACAGAGAACUUUCCAGAGAUGGAUUGGUGCCUUCGGGAACUCUGAUACAGGUGCUGCAUGGCUGUCGUCAGCUCGUGUCGUGAGAUGUUGGGUUAAGUCCCGCAACGAGCGCAACCCUUUUCCUUAUUUGCCAGCACUUUGGGUGGGAACUUUAAGGAUACUGCCAGUGACAAACUGGAGGAAGGCGGGGACGACGUCAAGUCAUCAUGGCCCUUACGGCCAGGGC
RNAcentral lists this ribosomal RNA (554 nucleotides) under uncultured bacterium. RNAcentral's name for it is "bacterial SSU rRNA". It matches the Rfam family "Bacterial small subunit ribosomal RNA", at positions 660 to 1214 of the family's 1533-position model. The record is from RNAcentral.